This 485-nucleotide ribosomal RNA is filed under the name uncultured bacterium. RNAcentral describes it as "bacterial SSU rRNA". It matches the Rfam family "Bacterial small subunit ribosomal RNA", at positions 1 to 499 of the family's 1533-position model. The record is from RNAcentral.
UUUUUAGAGUUUGAUCCCUGGCUCAGGAUGAACGCUGGCGGCGUGCUUAAUACAUGCAAGUCGAACGAAGAGUGUAGCAAUACUCUCUUAGUGGCGAAUGGGUGCGUAACACGUGGGUGACCUACCCCGAAGUGUGGAAUAACAGUUCGAAAGAACUGCUAAUACCGCAUGUGGUCCCGGGUUUUUAGAAAGCCGGGUCUAAAGUCCCCCUUUGGGGAGACGCUUCGGGAGGGGCCUGCGGUCCAUCAGCUAGUUGGUAGGGUAAUGGCCUACCAAGGCAACGACGGGUAGGGGACCUGAGAGGGUGACCCCCCACACUGGCACUGAAACACGGGCCAGACGCCUACGGGUGGCAGCAGUAAGGAAUAUUGCACAAUGGGCGAAAGCCUGAUGCAGCAACGCCGCGUGCGCGAUGAAGGCCUUCGGGUCGUAAAGCGCUUUUAGGGAGGAUGAGGAAGGACAUACUCCCAGAAUAAGGACGGCAA